UUCCCCUAGUAACGGCGAGUGAAGCGGGAACAGCUCAAAUUUGAAAUCUGGCCCUUGGGUCCGAGUUGUAAUUUGCAGAGGAUGCUUUUGGUGCGGUGCCUUCCGAGUUCCCUGGAACGGGACGCCUUAGAGGGUGAGAGCCCCGUACGGUUGGACACCAAGCCUAUGUAAAGCUCCUUCGACGAGUCGAGUAGUUUGGGAAUGCUGCUCAAAAUGGGAGGUAUAUUUCUUCUAAAGCUAAAUAUUGGCCAGAGACCGAUAGCGCACAAGUAGAGUGAUCGAAAGAUGAAAAGCACUUUGAAAAGAGGGUUAAAUAGCACGUGAAAUUGUUGAAAGGGAAGGAUUUAUGACCAGACUUUUUCUAGGGGGAUCAUCCGGUGUUCUCACCGGUGCACUUCCCCUAGUUGAGGCCAGCAUCGGUUUCUGUCGAGGGAUAAAAGCUUUAGGAAUGUGGCUCCCUCCGGGGAGUGUUAUAGCCUGUUGCAUAAUACCUUGACGGGGACCGAGGUUCGCGCAUUGCAAGGAUGCUGGCGUAAUGGUUAUUAAUCACCCGUCU
RNAcentral lists this ribosomal RNA (556 nucleotides) under Apiospora saccharicola. Its description in RNAcentral is "eukaryotic LSU rRNA". It matches the Rfam family "Eukaryotic large subunit ribosomal RNA", at positions 75 to 654 of the family's 3401-position model. Lineage: Eukaryota; Fungi; Ascomycota; Sordariomycetes; Amphisphaeriales; Apiosporaceae. The record is from RNAcentral.